Long non-coding RNA from Patella vulgata (common limpet), 2108 nucleotides. RefSeq lists it as uncharacterized. The record is from RefSeq and is a predicted model, not a curated record. The transcript is spliced from 4 exons. NCBI's taxonomy places the organism in Eukaryota, Metazoa, Mollusca, Gastropoda, Patellidae.
AAUAUGCAUUAACCAGUUUAUACCUGUUUGUGAGAAAUUCUGAAAACUUUACAAAACAAUUAUGGAAUUUAUAUACCGCGAGACGUAUUCAAGUUUUCUCUUACUAUUGUCCGAGUAUUUGUCUAUUUAGUGUUAAAGAACCCAGGAAUUGGAAUUGAUAUAGACCUCUAAACACACCGAGAUUUGUAUUAGCGCUUGGAUUUAUACCGCUAUACCGGUAACCAUAAUUCAUUGAGUUGUGCCUUACUAUUGUCCGAGUGUUUGUUUAUUUAGUGUAAAAAAAAUAUUGGAAUUUAUAGAGGGUCUAAACACACCGAGAUUUGUAUUAGUGCUUGGAUCUACACCAAUAUACCGGCAUGGAAUAAAAAAAUAUAUAAAACACGAGUUAACGAGAGUAAUCAUUUUAGUUAGAAGGGAAAAUUGUCUGGUGUUUAUACUGUUAACAAUAAUCAUUGAAUAUUGAAAGUUUGGACAUCGUUAGAGAGAUUGCCGUUUAAUUGAGAUGUUGCCAGGCGUAUAAACAUGGAAUAUUGACAGUUUAACCGUGUAAUAUAGGGAAUAUUGCCCAGUGUAUAAACAUUAGAUAUUGACAGUUUCAUCGUGUAAUAUAGUGAAUAUUGCCCGGUGUAUAAAUAUUAGAUAUUGACAGUUUAACCGUUUAAUAUAGUGAAUAUUACCCAGUGUAUAAACAUUAGAUAUUGACAGUCUAACCGUGUAAUAUAGCGAAUAUUACCCAGCGUGUAAACAUUAGAUAUUGACAGUUUAAACGUGUAAUAUAGCGAAUAUUACCCAGUGUGUAAACAUUAGAUAUUGACAGUUUAAACGUGUAAUAUAGCGAAUAUUACCCAGUGUGUAAACAUUAGAUAUUGACAGUUUAAAAAGUGAUAGACAAUAUUAUAUUAAGAUGUGGAGAAAUAUUCAGUUUAAACAGCGAUAGACAAUAUUAUAGCAAUAUGUGGAAUACUAUUCGGAUUAUAUGUUUGUAAGCGUUUAUACCAGAUUGGAUAGUUGACCGAAAUCGUGAACACAAGAUUGGAUAGUUGACCGAAAUCGUGAACACGAGAUUGGAUAGUUGACCGAAAUCGUGAACACGAGAUUGGAUAGUGACUGAAAUCGUGAACACGAUGUGUAAUAAUAUCAGAACGUAUAUUUGUUGAUAGAAAUAUUGAUUGUUUAAAUGAGAUGACAGCCAUGUUGAAGAAUCUAAUACUAGUGAUUAUUGUUGGUAUUCUACUUUUGGUUAAAACCGUCGUCCAUACUAAAAGAUUACCCAGAUCAACUGGACUAAUUGACCUUGUCUUUAAAAGACCAUCACCUGAGUGCAAGGAUCUAUAUUGUAGGGACCAGGUGGGAUGUUGUGUUUGUAUUUAUCCGUACGGCUGGGGUUUACACGGUUCAAGUACCGGUUGCUGUGGAAACUACAAUGGCUGCUGUAAACUAGCCUCGUGGGUCUGUUAUGUUCAUGACGUCAUGUGUGACUGUUGUGGUUCUAUAUUUUGUGGUCCCCAGUGUAAAAAAGACCCUGCUUGUGUCGACGAGAAAAUGUUAUCAGACGAUACCGAUGGCGGUAGUGGCGACGAAGAAUAACAGACUCAAACCAACCUUCAGCGAGAACAGUGCAAUCGGAAACAUUAAUAGCAUGAUCGGACGUGCGAUCUUCGUUUACACCGAUUUGAAAAUGUGAAUUUGUUACUGAUCGUCCGAGUGAAUCAAGUUGAUCCUUUUUAAAGAUACAUUAUGUAAGAUUUAGAUAAAGAGCUGACAUCAAUGAUAGUUUAAAAAGAGAUAACAUCCAUUUAAAUCACGGCCAUCCAACGAUGGCUUGUUUUGUUAGUUACUGUCUAAAUAAUAAUUUAUAUAACAAUUGAAGCUAAAUGAAAGACCUGCAAUGGGUAGAUUUAGCUCUUACAUAAUUCAUCUUUAACGGAAUUACGUAAUUCGAAAAAGUGACUUGAUGAACACGACUUUUCCUGACUUUAAGCAAGUGCUAUCAAGACAUAGCAUAGCAAGAAUAGAAAACACAAGUUACCAACAACCUACAGCUACUUUAAUUGGAUUCACACUAACAAAAUAUAUCGGGGACAGCUACUUUUAAAUAGUUAUAUUUU